AAAAAACUUGGGCCACACUGGAGAUUCGAUUGGCCGACCAUCGCUAUCCCCUUUUGAGUUUUCUAGAUUCAUAUCGCAACGAAGUACAAAACUUUGAAGCAGAUAUCAAAGAAUGUGAGAUGCAGUUAACGUAACAAACAACCAUGAUCUGAUCAAUAUUGCUAUGAUCUUGGUUGACUAAUAGGGAACAUUAUAUGUUUAUAAUUCUUUCUUCGGCCUUAUAUGGUUAAACAUCAAGGGGAAAUUGAUCACAUCUUAUUGUAGAUGAGAGUUAAUGCUAGGAA
Quercus robur (English oak) is the source of this 284-nucleotide long non-coding RNA. RefSeq lists it as uncharacterized. The transcript is spliced from 3 exons. The record is from RefSeq and is a predicted model, not a curated record. NCBI's taxonomy places the organism in Eukaryota, Viridiplantae, Streptophyta, Magnoliopsida, Fagales, Fagaceae.